AGUGAACGCUGGCGGUAGGCCUAACACAUGCAAGUCGAACGGCAGCACAGUAAGAGCUUGCUCUUACGGGUGGCGAGUGGCGGACGGGUGAGGAAUACAUCGGAAUCUACUUUUUCGUGGGGGAUAACGUAGGGAAACUUACGCUAAUACCGCAUACGACCUACGGGUGAAAGCAUGGGAUCUUCGGACCUUGCGCGAUUGAAUGAGCCGAUGUCGGAUUAGAUAGUUGGCGGGGUAAAGGCCCACCAAGGCGACGAUCCGUAGCUGGUCUGAGAGGAUGGUCAGCGACACUGGAACUGAGACAGGGUCCAGACGCCUACGAGAGGCAGCAGUGGGGAAUGUUGGACAAUGGGCGCAAGUCUGAUCCAGCCGUACCGCGUGGGUGAAGAAGGCGUUGGGGUUGUAAAGACCUUUUGUUGGGAAAGAAAAGCAGCAGGUUAAUACCCCGCUGUUCUGACGGUACCCAAAGAAUAAGCACCGGCUAACUUCGUG
Molecule: ribosomal RNA, 492 nt
Filed under: uncultured bacterium
Lineage: Bacteria
Description: partial 16S ribosomal RNA
Rfam family: Bacterial small subunit ribosomal RNA
Source: RNAcentral